GGGGCUUCAGAGGAGGAAGAGGAGGAGGUGGCGGAUUCCGAGGAAGGGGACAUUAGAUGUCCAGUUGGCAGACCUGACCACUUCUGUUUCCGCUGCGUGGCCUGCCUCUGCUGUGGCUGGCGUCUGUCUGGAGCAGUCUUGAGGGUGCCAUUCUGUCAGUGGAGCUGGAUCGGCAGCAUCGAGUCAGAUCAAGGGGAACAGGACAGUCAAUUUUGCUCAGAAGGAGGAGAACCCCUGCUUUGUACAGUACCUGGCACUCUGUGGGUGCUUAAAGAACCAUGGGACUUUUCAUUUGAAGCAUAUUUGGAUUUUUUAAAUAAAAUUUUUAAUUUCCUUAACUUA
This is a long non-coding RNA of Rattus rattus (black rat), 342 nucleotides long. RefSeq lists it as uncharacterized. The transcript is spliced from 2 exons. The record is from RefSeq and is a predicted model, not a curated record. Lineage: Eukaryota; Metazoa; Chordata; Mammalia; Rodentia; Muridae.